UCCGAUAUGGUCUAGUGGCUAGGAUUUGCCGCUCUCAUCAAGAGCAGUUCACUCUAGUAGUGCCGGCAAGGCCCGGGUUCGAUUCCCGGUGUCGGAA
Non-coding RNA from Melanomma pulvis-pyrius CBS 109.77, 97 nucleotides. The record is from the annotation of a GenBank genome assembly. Lineage: Eukaryota; Fungi; Ascomycota; Dothideomycetes; Pleosporales; Melanommataceae.